GUGCACCAGUCGAGAAAACUUCACAAUGUGCGAAAGCACGAUGAGGGAAUCCCAAGUGCUUGCACGUAAGUGUAAGCUGUUUCUCUGUCUAAAACGCAGAGAGAGUAAGGGCUGGGUAAGACGGGUGCCAGCCGCCGCGGUAAUACCUGCAGCUCGAGUGGUGACCGUUAUUAUUGGGCCUAAAACGUCCGUAGCCGGUUUAAUAAAUGCCUGGGUAAAUCGGACCGCUUAACGGUUCGAAUUCCGGGUAGACUGUUAAACUUGAGACCGGGAGAAGUUAGAGGUACUCCUGGGGUAGAGGUGAAAUUCUGUAAUCCUAGGGGGACCACCAGUGGCGAAGGCGUCUAACUAGAACGGGUCUGACGGUGAGGGACGAAGCCCUGGGGCGC
Molecule: ribosomal RNA, 389 nt
Filed under: uncultured microorganism
Description: bacterial SSU rRNA
Rfam family: Archaeal small subunit ribosomal RNA
Source: RNAcentral